AUACGGAGGAUCCGAGCGUUAUCCGGAUUUAUUGGGUUUAAAGGGUGCGCAGGCGGCCAUUUAAGUCAGCGGUUAAAUCGUGGGGCUCAACCCCAUUCUGCCGUUGAUACUGGGUGGCUUGGUUGCGGUCGAGGUUGGCGGAAUUCGUUGUGUAGCGGUGAAAUGCAUAGAUAUGACGAAGAACACCGAUUGCGUAGGCAGCUGACCAGACCGCAAAUGACGCUCAUGCACGAAAGUGCGGGGAUCGAACAGGAUUAGAUACCCUGGUAGUCCGCACAGUAAACGAUGAAUACUUGUUUUCGGCGAUAUAAUGUCGGAGGCAAAGCGAAAGCGAUAAGUAUUCCACCUGGGGAGUACGCCGGCAACGGUGAAACUCAAAGGAAUUGACGGGG
RNAcentral lists this ribosomal RNA (392 nucleotides) under uncultured bacterium. RNAcentral's name for it is "partial 16S ribosomal RNA". It matches the Rfam family "Bacterial small subunit ribosomal RNA", at positions 523 to 918 of the family's 1533-position model. The record is from RNAcentral.